RNAcentral lists this long non-coding RNA (1371 nucleotides) under Sorghum bicolor (sorghum). RNAcentral's name for it is "long non-coding RNA (SBIC_LNC002839)". Lineage: Eukaryota; Viridiplantae; Streptophyta; Magnoliopsida; Poales; Poaceae. The record is from RNAcentral.
UGGGGCUUAUGGCUUUUCCUUUGUCUUAGGUGGUUGAGAGACAGAACAGUUUGACUUGAGCACUAACUUUCUCAUUCUUAGCAAGUUUCAUAUCAGAGGUUUUGUGAUAUUUUCAAAAGAAAGCUUAAAUGUUCCUCUUAUGGUUCUCUCAUGUCACUCAAAUGGUGUAUGAUUCCUCACCAAGGCAUAUGGUAAGAGUUGCCUUCUCUAUUUCAUCCUAUUUCUAAAAGGCUUAUGUGGAGUUCAAGGUAGGGAUGAAAGGAGAUAGCAUACUUACUUUGCAUAUAUUGCGAAGUCAAAGCUCGGAUCCUUGAAGAGAAGUGUCAUACUCCCAGAUCAAGAUGUGCAAGUGUGAUAUAUGGUGGACUAGGUUGCUCCUUUAUUUGAUAGACUCUCUAUGUAUUGAGACAUGGCUAGCAUUUUUUUCUUCUUUUUUUUAUAUAUAUGAGCUUUCAUGUGCUCAAUUUUCUUUUUCUGUGGACUUGCACAUGUCCAUCUUUUUAUUUCAUUUUGCCUAGCCUUUUGAUGUCUCAUUUACCAAAUAAUGCUUAGAGAGAUGUUCUAACAUUUAGAGUAUGGAGCAACCUAUUUAGUGGAUGCGAAAUACAUGUGGUUGCGUACUUCCAGUGUAGAAGCAGCAUAUAUAUAUGUGGUGUGUACGUGAUCUUGAUCUUAGGAGCAUGAAAAGUCUCUUAACAAGGGUCAACAAGACUUGACGACACUCAACACAAAGCAAAUAGCUUAUGUGGAAAGGUUGCAAUUAUGUAAAGUAGAUAUGGCUGUGGUAGGAAUUCAUCACCAUUGAGGAACAAUUAAGGUUUUGAUCAUUUUAAGAAUAAAUCUCUGAUAAUCAUGCAUGCUUAGAAAAAUAUUAUAGUAGCUCUUGUCUUACUAUCUCAUGUCCCACAACAACUUAGACUUAGUUCUAGCACUUGCAACCCACAAAGUUUUUAGGUUCAUGGCAGUUUAAGUGAGCUAAGUGAUCCAUACUUAGAGAAAUACUAAGUUGUAUACUAGGCACUAGAGAAACAUUAACAAGCAACUAGUCAUCAUUUCCAUGAGGGAUAUAAACAUACAUGAAGCAUAUAUGCUAAAGGGAAAUGCUAAUAAAUAUAUUUUUUUAAGUAAGAAUGAUAAAAUGCAUGAAAAUAAAUAGGAUAGAAUACUUACCUUAGUGGGGGAGAGGAUCUCCCCCAAGCUAGAUCUUCGCUCACUGUGGUGGCAGGAAAUUCUGGUACCAUCCAGCCCAGCGUUGUGCGUCUUCCUCUCGCACACGUCGGAUAUGUUGGCCGUUUUGUAACGCCAGUUGCAAUGUUGCUUCUUGCCCAAUCUGCAAUUCGCCCAUGUCAUUAAUGAGACUGUCCAUACCUG